UUGAGAGAAGCCAAAAUAUAGAGGCAUAUCACUGUUAAUGAUAAAAUUGAAAUUUUUUUCCUGUCAAG
Molecule: transfer RNA, 68 nt
Filed under: Pseudocarcinus gigas
Lineage: Eukaryota; Metazoa; Arthropoda; Malacostraca; Decapoda; Eriphiidae
Description: tRNA-Asn
Source: RNAcentral